CCCUAGCUGACACUGGGAGAUGGUAUAGAACUUUCCAGCCAAGUUCAAAAAGUCAGCAGUUGGGAAGCAAAAGGUUCUUUGCUCCAUGAGCUGAGAGGAGAGAUAUCAUGAUUGCAACUCCUGCCUUCUUUCUAUCAGUUGGGGUCCAAAAGGUCUUACUCCAUCCGUUCAUUCUGACCUUAUUCUUUCUCCUCGACAAGUGUGGAAGAGGCAUGAAGAAAGAGAGAACUUCAUGUUUGCAAAAGAAAGUUGGGGACAUGAUCUGUCAAUCAAGGUGAAGAUUCCAAAACAGAAUGUUCCCAGGAAAGGCAGUUGGAGUUGGCCAGAGGAGAGGAACUGAGAUUUCUUCUUUGGGGGUUACUGGCCAAAGGAACUAAACCUCUUCUCUGGGUUCCUGACCAAGAGAGACUGUCUUUUUCUGAUCUAGGCAGAGAGUGACCUUUGGGAGGGCUUCUGGAAUUAAUAUGAGAAGAAAUUAACUUUUGUUUGUGGUUUUGUGUAAUUGGAGGAAGAAAGAAGAUUUAAUAGUUGUCCUCCUUCUCUCUGACUGUCUCUGAGUCACAGUUGUGACUGGACUGACAUUUCCCAAACCCUCCUAAUUCUCCUUAUAGAUUAGGGAAACCCUCAUCCCUCUCACCUCAAUCUCCAUCCUGUUGUUCACAAUAAACCCCUUUACUUGAGAAAAAAAGAGUAAAGA
This is a long non-coding RNA of Monodelphis domestica (gray short-tailed opossum), 697 nucleotides long. NCBI's taxonomy places the organism in Eukaryota, Metazoa, Chordata, Mammalia, Didelphimorphia, Didelphidae. The record is from Ensembl.